RNAcentral lists this long non-coding RNA (259 nucleotides) under Solanum tuberosum (potato). RNAcentral describes it as "long non-coding RNA (STUB_LNC008068)". Lineage: Eukaryota; Viridiplantae; Streptophyta; Magnoliopsida; Solanales; Solanaceae. The record is from RNAcentral.
CGUCUCCGCUGCAUCGAAGAGUACCUAUGCACUAUGUUCCGGUUCACUGAUAAGGAAGAUAGCGUUGGGGUGGGGGUCUACGAUGUGAUACUAAAGUAUGACCGGGGGAGAUGGACGACGAUAAGCCAUCGCCCAGUAGUGCUCUCUGAGCUUGAUUGCUCCGAGCGGUAGGUCACAAUCUGAAUUUCAGACUGAAAAGCGGAAAGUAAUAAGUUCAACCGGUAAGAGAAUGCGUUUAACCGAUUGAAAGCGUGAUAAG